RNAcentral lists this ribosomal RNA (253 nucleotides) under uncultured bacterium. RNAcentral's name for it is "partial 16S ribosomal RNA". It matches the Rfam family "Bacterial small subunit ribosomal RNA", at positions 524 to 776 of the family's 1533-position model. The record is from RNAcentral.
GACGAAGGUGGCGAGCGUUGUUCGGAAUCACUGGGCCUAAAGCGCACGUAGGCGGCUAAGUAAGUCGGAUGUGAAAUACCUCGGCUCAACCGAGGAACUGCGUCCGAUACUGCUUGGCUUGAGGUCCGGAGGGGAGAGUGGAAUUCCCGGUGGAGCGGUGAAAUGCGUAGAGAUCGGGAAGAACGCCGGCGGCGAAAGCGACUCUCUGGUCGGAAUCUGACGCUGAGGUGCGAAAGCUAGGGGCGCAAACGGG